GGAAGUAAAAGUCGUAACAAGGUCUCCGUUGGUGAACCAGCGGAGGGAUCAUUACAGAGUUGCAAAACUCCCUAAACCAUCGCGAACGUACCCGUACCGUUGCUUCGGCGGGCGGCUCCAGGGCGGAGCCGCAACCCUCGCGGGUGCCCGCCGGUAGCCUAACAACUCUGAAUUCUUGGUAUCUCUGAGUAUAACAUACAAAUAAGUUAAAACUUUCAACAACGGAUCUCUUGGUUCUGGCAUCGAUGAAGAACGCAGCGAAAUGCGAUAAGUAAUGUGAAUUGCAGAAUUCAGUGAAUCAUCGAAUCUUUGAACGCACAUUGCGCCCGCCAGUAUUCUGGCGGGCAUGCCUGUUCGAGCGUCAUUUCAACCAUCAGGCCCCCGGGCCCGUGUUGGGGCCCUGCGCGCCAGCCGCGCAGGCCCUUAAAACUAGUGGCGGGCUCGCUGUCGCACCGAGCGUAGUAAUCUUAUCUCGCUUCGGACGCGGCGUGCGCUGGCCGUAAAGCACACCCCUUCUCAAGGUUGACCUCGGAUCAGGUAGGAAUACCCGCUGAACUUAAGCAUAUCAAUAAGCGGAGGAAAAGAAACCAACAGGGAUUGCCUUAGUAACGGCGAGUGAAGCGGCAACAGCUCAAAUUUGAAAUCUGGCCCCCAGGCCCGAGUUGUAAUUUGUAGAGGAAGAUUCUGGCAAGGUACCUGCUAAGUCCCCUAGAACGGGGCGCCAUAGAGGGUGAGAGCCCCGUAUAGCAGGAUGCCGACCCUGUGUGAAUCUCCUUCGACGAGUCGAGUAGUUUGGGAAUGCUGCUCUAAAUGGGAGGUAAAUUUCUUCUAAAGCUAAAUAUUGGCCAGAGACCGAUAGCGCACAAGUAGAGUGAUCGAAAGAUGAAAAGCACUUUGAAAAGAGGGUUAAAUAGCACGUGAAAUUGUUGAAAGGGAAGCGCUUGUGAUCAGACUUGCGCCUGGCGGAUCAUCCGGCGUUCUCGCCGGUGCACUCCGCCUGGCACAGGCCAGCAUCGGUUCUCGUGGGGGGAUAAAGGCUCGGGGAACGUGGCUCCUCCGGGAGUGUUAUAGCCCCGGGCGCAAUGCCCUCGCGGGGACCGAGGUUCGCGCAUCUGCAAGGAUGCUGGCGUAAUGGUCAUCAGCGACCCGUCUUGAAACACGGACC
RNAcentral lists this ribosomal RNA (1165 nucleotides) under Lasiosphaeria ovina. RNAcentral describes it as "eukaryotic LSU rRNA". The stretch from base 524 to 1165 matches the Rfam family "Eukaryotic large subunit ribosomal RNA", at positions 1 to 667 of the family's 3401-position model. The record is from RNAcentral. Lineage: Eukaryota; Fungi; Ascomycota; Sordariomycetes; Sordariales; Lasiosphaeriaceae.